RNAcentral lists this ribosomal RNA (543 nucleotides) under uncultured bacterium. RNAcentral describes it as "bacterial SSU rRNA". It matches the Rfam family "Bacterial small subunit ribosomal RNA", at positions 775 to 1319 of the family's 1533-position model. The record is from RNAcentral.
AGUCAAUAGAUACCCAGGUAGUCCACGCCCUAAACGAUGUCAACUAGUUGUCGGGUCUUAAUUGACUUGGUAAACGCAGCUAAACGCGUGAAGUUGACCGCCUGGGGAGUACGGCCGCAAGGUUAAAACUCAAAGGAAUUGACGGGGACCCGCACAAGCGGUGGAUGAUGUGGGUUAAUUCGAUGCAACGCGAAAAACCUUACCUACGUUUGACAUGCCAGGAAGGCCGGAGAGAUCUGGUCGUGCCCGAAAGGGAACCUGGACACAGGUGCUGCAUGGCUGUCGUCAGCUCGUGUCGUGAGAUGUUGGGUUAAGUCCCGCAACGAGCGCAACCCUUAUCAUUAGUUGCUACGCAAGGGCACUCUAAUGAGGCUGCCGGUGACAAACCGGAGGAAGGUGGGGAUGACGUCAAGUCCUCAUGGCCCUUAUACGUAGGGCUUCACACGUCAUACAAUGGUCGGUACAGAGGGCUGCAAACCCGCGAGGGGGAGCCAAUCCCAGAAAACCGAUCGUAGUCCGGAUUGCACUCUGCAACUCGAGUGC